RNAcentral lists this unclassified non-coding RNA (7948 nucleotides) under Haliotis rufescens (red abalone). RNAcentral describes it as "proton-coupled folate transporter-like, transcript variant X1". The record is from RNAcentral. Lineage: Eukaryota; Metazoa; Mollusca; Gastropoda; Lepetellida; Haliotidae.
AUGUUCUCCAUGAAUGAACUUGCGAUGACACAAUCUAAUCUAGUGGCCUCAACGCUUCAAUUCAAAAUAUGGCCGUGAGUCAUUCCGGAGGAUGGUAAAUACUGUGACGUAACGAAUAUGCUGUGUGGUUAGUUUCAGGAGUGAGACAGUGGAUUACUAAUGCCUCUCUAAAACCCAGGACAGCGUGGUCAGUAUUGUGGAGUGGACAACAUGUCGCAGGGCGAGGAGCAGACGACACCCGUACAGGGUUUAACAAGGAAAUUAUUUGCGUGUGUGGAUUUUAUUCAGGGCUAUUUUGUAGACGCUGCCCUGUUUUGUUUCUUUCUCUCGCGGCACAUGUCUCUGCCGUUAUUCCAGGAAUAUGUUCAAGACCAAAUCCACAAAAAACAUAACCUCAACUUGAUAGACAUCCAGAAAGGCAUGAGUGGGAAUGAGACAAGCUCCUGGCACGAGGCUCAGCAGGAAAGUGUGCUCGCAGUGUUAGGACUCCAGAUUGCGGAGGGUUUACCGGCCAUCAUCACCGUCCUCAUCCUGGGGGCUGUCAGUGACAGAACAGGUAGACGGAAGAUCCUUCUGUGGCUUCCCUCGCUGGGGAGUGUUGCACAUUCUCUCAUCUAUGUUCUGAUUCUGUACACUGGAUGGAACCUGGAUGGCCUGUUUAUGGCGUCGGCCCUCAGGGGAAUCAGUGGGAGUAUGACUGCCUUCUUGGCUGGAUCAACUUAUUUUGCGAUUAACAGCGUUAAACCAAAUCAAAGAGCCUCGCGCCUUGCUAUCCAGGAGUUUUUGAACGGCGGUGCAUAUGCUCUUGGUAAUAUCAUGGUUGGAUUCUGGGUCAAGUCCAGUGGAUUUUUGCAACCAUUUUGGUUCACUUUGAUCUGUGGAGUGAUCGCCUUCUUGAUAUCCUUCUUCCUGGUACAGGAGUGCCCACUCAGCGAAGCAGACCGACCGGUUCGACACAGAAGGACUGGAAAUUGUUGCAAAGAUUUGUUUGCACCCAUGGCCAAAAUAUUCAACUGUUGUAAAAACCGAGGCCUGAUUAAAGUCUGGAUGGCCAUUUUAGCUUUCCAGACGUACGCCGCAGUGCAUAUUGGCCAGGAGAAUGUCUUAGUGUUGUAUCUUAGUGGACAGCCGUAUUUGUAUUCCUGGCGUACGGAUGUGACGGGGCCUGGGCCAUAUGUAAAGAUCGGCCUGUUCUUGUCCGUCAUCAUGGCCGUGGCAGCGGCGGCCGUGGCGCUGAGUCCACCGAUAAUGAGGAGGUUCCUGACAGAAUCAAACAUCGCCUUCAUUGGAUACUUCUCCAAGGCCCUGGGCACCCUCUGGAUUGCUGUUGUUCAUAAUGAAACAAUUUUAUAUUUUGCCAUUCUGCUGUUGGCGUUUGAACUUCUACCAUUCCCAAUGAUGAGGUCCAUCGUGUCAAGAGGAAUUUCCCCAUCAGAACAAGGGUCGCUGUUUGCUGUGAUGCAUUGUGGGGAGAGUAUAAUUUACUUCCUGGCUCCGUUCACCUUCACGGCAAUCUACGCUUCUUCGCUGCACUAUUUUGGUGGCUUCGUCUUCAUCGUGUCUAUCAUCCUGCUGUGUCUGCCUACAGGAUUCACGAUAGCCCUUCGUUAUCUGGAGAGCAGGGAGCCCCAGGGAUACGAGCCGAUGGAUGGAGCCGAUCUGCAGCCAGAGGAGGAAGGACCAUCUGCAGCACCCAGCGAAUCGGAGACCGACAGACUGGCACAGGAGCCAAUCAGCUUCAUUCAGCUCAGUCAAGAUGCAUGAUCCAACCACUGCACCCGAGUGUCCCAUCGACAAAUUAUGGAAUUUGCACCUUUAGCCAGUGAUUGCCAACAGAGGAGAGCUAGUCACCCAGAGAGUGUAUGUUGGACUUCAGGAACCAAGGUUCAGUGUACUUAUAAUCAGAAACCCGAGCUUGUCUCUGCUGACGUUAUCAGGGGAAGAUCAGCUGUAGUUUACCCUGCAUCGUAUUUCUGUUGCUCAAAAGUGAUAUUAGAAGUUGCCUGUUCAAGUGUCAACUCAUUUGGAAGAUGUUUUCUGCAUAUUUAUCCACAGUGCUUGUGUUAGUUCCACUGUUAUAUAUCUUGUUUAAGAACAAUCACAAGAGCUUUGUAGCGUGAUCUGUGGCUACAUUGGUUACUAUGCUCAGACUCCGAGAAGUACAAAAGCAAGAAACAGCUGCUUUGUAUCAGUAGGAGACUGUGUGGAUACACCAGGGGUAUUUUCUUUCUUACGUUGAGAAUUGUACAUUAAGUUUAAUUGUGUGUGACAGGUGCUUGGUGUGUUCACACAUCUGCAUUGUUGCUGUUACUAUGUUGCAUGUCAUGUGUGUCUUCAGGAUAUGAUGUGUGUAACUCUCCAGACAUAGUGUGUGUAAUGCAUGUCUUCAGGUUAUAGUAGAAGUUAUAGCAGUAUCACGGGGGAUAUAUGUGGUUUCGUGCGUCCCGCCUUAGGUUUUAUGCCAUGAGCAGGAGGCUAGUGGUAUAAAACCAAACACGGGACGCAUGAAACCACAUGUACCCUUUGUGAAACUGCUACAACAAAUUUAUCUUUCUGACAUCUUUUAAUAUGACAUUGUAAAAGAAUUAAGACAAAUUCAAAACUGAUAGAAAACAGCUGUUUGUAUGAGCUGAAGUUAACUUGUGCUAUGUUACAUGACUUUCAUUGACUUGUAAAAAGCCUGCGGCUUUUUGCUUCAAAGCUGGAUAUAUGAGAUUUAUUCUGCCUCUCAGAAAUCUGUCUUGUUCGUGGCGGGGUAUAAGGGAUUUUUUCUCUCGCUGAGCAAUUUAUUUCCCUCCAAAGUGGGAUACAUAGUAUUUUAUCAAGAUCACUUUGAACAAUCAGAUCUCAUCAGAUCUCAUCAGAUCAGAUCAUGUGUGUUAUUAUCCAAACUUAGUGUGUGUAUGUAAUGUGUGUCUUCAGGAUAUCUUGAGGAUGUAAUAUUAUCCAGAUAUAGUGUGUUUAAUGUGUGUCUUCAGGAUUUAAUGUGUGCUGUUGUCCAGAUGUCAUGUGUGUAAUAUGUGUUACAGGGAUAUUGUGUGUGUAGGGUUGGACAGUCGAGAUUAUUCUGUGCUCAUAUUGUUGCACUACCCACUGAAACUUAAGAAAUUAUUGUGAAACAAAACAGUAGGCUGUGUUGACAUGAUUGAUGAGCAUGAUGAAUAUGUUGUUUUCUUCACUGUCCACCAUCCUUGAUUUCGUCUACCACAUGCUGUAUUUCCACAGGUCUGUUUCCCUACAGGAAAUACAUAUCCAGGAAAACAUAAUGUACGGGAUAAACCGCUUCCCAUCUCACUUUUGAUGGAAAGUUAAUUUGUUGUGGCCUUAUAUAACAGAUGAAUUAAAAUCAAAUGAAGUCAGCAUUAUACACGAUGCCACACAGGCCAUGUAUGGGGCCAACGUAGGGUGUAAAGCUCAGUCUGUGUAGUACAGGUGAGACUUAUAUAAGCCAGAAAGAAUUGAAACUUUUCUUUCCUCUUUUGGCCUGCAGUUGAAACCAUACAUGGCAUGUGAUGUCGUUGACCUUCCAUUUACAAAGUGCAUAUUUCAUUUCAGUUUCCAACCACCAAGUACUUGGUGUAUGUGUUGUCUACAAAGAGAGAUAUUUUUACAGCAUGUUCUAUGUGUGUUAGGAAUUUGCUAUUUCCUUGUCUGCUGUUUUCCUUCAACUUCAACGAAAGAUGAUCCUGUAGCCAUGGUAACGUGAAAGUGUUGUACAUGAACCAGAAUGCAUACAGUACAUGUCUGUAUCAAGGGACGUGUCCUCGCACAGGUGAUGCAAGGUUUGGUGGUUAAUUUAAAAAAAAAAUUAUAAUCCACCUGGCCCAUUUGUAAACUCUAAAAGUUAAUCCAUGGAAACAACAUAAAAUUAUGUUUAUCUGUAAGCAUAGUAAUAAUGAUGAUUUCAGAGUUUAUUUGUCUGUUGUUUAACGCUGCACUCAACAAUAUUCAAGCUAUAUGACAGCGGUCUGUAAAUAAUCCAGAAUGGAGCAUACAAUUCAGUGACUGACAUUCUGAACAUCGAUCUAUGCAACUGGGAUACAGUGAAAAGCAUCCACCGAGGCAGGGAAUGUGACCACCAUAUCCCAUUGGUUAUCAGGCUUUUCCAGUUGAUCUACAGAAACAUCGACUACAUGGUAGCAUAUUUGUUUUUUGUUUUUUUUAAAAACACAUCUUCACUAAAAUCAAGAUUAAGAGACCAAAGUGAUAUAUUUUGAACUAAGAAAAUUUGGAAAUCUGUUUUUUUGCAGUAGCUUAGAUUUUUUGUAGAUAAGAUAACAUUUCCAUGACGGUGGAAAUAGGAUGGUGAGGAUUUGAGGAUUUAUAUAUGACUGAAUGCUAUGAUGGAGUUGGAUGUGUGUGCUGUGAAUGUCACAAUUACUGCAGGAAUGUUUGAUAUUUGUACCCUGUUAGUCCAAUAUUUGCCAUAAUCUAUACUCACAAAACAGCCAAAUGUUACUAGUUAAUUUUGUGUACAUAAUUAUCAUUGUGUUGUCAACACUUACAGCAGGUCAGGCCUGAUAUCCAGGAGGUACUUGACUUGUGACCCCGUAGCACGCAGUAUAAUAAAUACCCAGUCCCUAUCCCGGCCACAUGCAUUGCCUACUUGCACAACACCAGCUUCGUAUGUUUGCCUGAGUCACUUCUCGUACAUGUGGAGGUUACAUCAGUCAUUCUCUGACGAAGCACCAGUAAUUGCCUGGUAUGCAUGUCAACUGUGUAAAAAACCUGUUUGUUUGGCCACUAACUCUAUAUGAACAUGGACUAUGUUAGAAAUGAGCAAGAUGGAUGAUUGUCUUCUGUAGGUGGCAUGUACGAGUUGGCAUGAUGAACAAGGAGAGAGUUCCAUGCAUAUACAACUUCUGUAGUACAAUGACUGCCACGUUUCGGUUUCGGUGUAGAUAGCAACACCAUUAUCAAGCAAGUGAUGUCCAUAGAACUGUCUCUCUUGUUGAUAAUUGUUUUGUCAGAAGGUGAAGGUCACGAGAGAGAAAUAACUGCCAUAAAGGGUUUGAUGCUAUACUUUGUUAAGACUUGGUAUGUACCUUAUUUAGGAUGGGGGGGGGGGCAGUUGUCCUGAGGCGCCACGAUUCACUGUGCAGAGUUGCAUCCCUUGGGCACACAGAAACCUAUGAUUGUGGGUUCGAAUCCCGGUUCCCCCCGAUUAUGUUUCCAGGUUUGUCAGCACCAUACCCGUGCUCGUGGGUUUCACCGAACUGGUAAACGUCUGAGACCUGCAUCACAUCGGGCUUUCCUCCCACAUUAAGCUGACACGCCACGAUUUAACUAAUACUGUUAAAAGCAGCGUUAAACCCAACAACUCACUCACUCUUUAGGAUGGGUCCUGUUUUGAUAUGGUUUUGGUCAAGACCUACCUUGAUCAUUCAGUACCUGGAAGUUGACAGUGUGACGAGAUGGAUUCAGGGUGUGUUCUAACCACUGACAUUGAUGAGGAAUUGUAGCAACAAAUAUUUGAAGUACUAUUUACUUCCCUACCAUUCCACAGUUGUGAGUUUAUGUCUUUUACAAGGUGUUGCUGUUACAGAUUUGUUUGUUUCCUACCUUAUUAUAUAUAUAUUAUCUUGUUAUGCAUUCGGGUUGUUGAAUAUGCAUGAUCUCAGACCCUUGGUUUUCUCCAGAAAUCUGUUAGAUAGUAGUGUACUCUUUGAUCUUUUUUGUAUGUCCCAAACUAAAACGUUUUGAUUUUCAUGACUGCAUGCUCCUGACCCCACUCGGUGUACACAUACAAGGUGUACACAUACAGGUAUAUAGGAGUCCGAGUGCAUGCUCCUGACCACACUCGGUGUACACAUACAGGUAUAUAGGAGUCCGAGUGCAUGCUCCUGACCACACUCGGUGUACACAUACAGGUAUAUAGGAGUCCGAGUGCAUGCUCCUGACCACACUCGGUGUACACAUACAGGUAUAUAGGAGUCCGAGUGCAUGCUCCUGACCACACUCGGUGUACACAUACAGGUAUAUAGGAGUCCGAGUGCAUGGACAGGUGACCAGUCGGACAAAGUAAUGGAUACUCUAAAGACACGUUUUUGAAGGCCUAAGAAAUAACUGUUGGUUACAAAACUAAUUUGUGUAAGUUGGAACAUAAAUUUGUAAAUGCAUUUGCUUGGCAUUAAUAGAUUUAUUGUCAUUUUGUAUAGCUUCCAAGUUUGGAAAUAAUUGAAUCAAGCUACUCAACUGGUAACUUUUGAUGAACUUGGUGUUUUUUCACUUUGAUAUGUGUUGACAAGACUCCUUCGAAUAAUUUCUGUGAUAAUACUAUAUUGCCCAUGUAUCAUGUCUGGUGUCACUUUGACAUGGAACUAUGGACAGCAAUGUUUUUUAUCAUUUGUGACUAAGGACCAGGGCUAUUUCUUGCCCUCCUUCAACUGAACACUGAUGUGAUCAUAUUCAUCCAAGGUCUAACUGCCAAUAAAAAAUGUGAGUGCAUUUAUUUCAAAUAUCCAGGCAUCCAGUGUGUUUGGGAUCCUAUGGAGGUGGAGUCUUGGCUCAACUUAUCGAUGUAACACCAAUGCAACAGGAGGCACCUUGGAAUAGUUUGGAUGGUAAUCAGGAAUCUCUCUGACUUCCAAUGGGGUGGUGGGGCCAAAUGGGCAAAGUGUUGACUCGUAAUGUGGUAGAGCUGGGUUCAAAUCCCUACAUGGGUACAAUGUGUGAAGCCCAUUUCUGGUGUCCCUGCCAUGAUAUUACUGGUGUAGAACCCAACUCUCUCACUCACUCUUCAUGAUGCAAAUAAAGCGUUUCAUCAAAUAUAAUCAAAUACUUUGAAGGAGGAGAUACAUCCUGUCACCCCCUCCCUCCCCGACACGGACUCAUGGAUGCAUUUUACUGUGAAAUCAAAACAAUUCUGGGGCAUUGUCAGCUUGGCAUCUCAAAUAGGGAAUAUGUAAUAUUGUAAAAUUCACUUUUUAUUUGGUGCAUUUUAUUCCAGUUGAACAGCAUAAUUCCAGGUUUGGUAAAUCUGUUUGAAACUAAUAUAGUAUUUAUUUAUUGCCGCACCUAAUUAACUUGUAUAGCUGUGAUAGUUGUUUUUGAAUAUGCUAUGUUUUAUUGUCAGUGCUUUGAAAUAAUAAUUCAGCCCAUGGACAGCUCUCACAAAAGAUGUAGUUGUGUUGUAAUUGUGAGGUCGUUUCAUAACACUUUGGAUGCAAUUUCAGACAUUGUGUUGGAUUGAAUUGGCUAUCACAACGCUUGAAUGGCCAUACAGGCUUAUUGCUAUAUCAAGUUUGAAUGUCCAUUGCUUUUUUAUGUUUAUGUGUUAUUGUUAUUUGUUUUGUUUGCAAGUAGUUCAAAUUAAUGCUAAUUAUGCAGGUGGAAGUCAAUUAGCACUAUUUCAUAAUCAGUACACUUUUAUACGAUUUAUGCUUUUUAUAUAAAAAAUAAUAUUUGAAUAACUUUUUGUAACACAUUUUAUUAAACUUUAUGGACAUCUACCAAAAUGGAGCUUGAAAAUAACAGUGACACGUACUUAACAUUGUCAGUCAGUUGAAUUUACAUGCGUCCUGAAUUAUGUACCCUUCAGGGCUACGUCUUCAUACUCUCCAAGCCAUAAAAUAACCAUGUAUGUAGGGGUUUCAAUGCAUGAAGUUCUAAGGCUCCGGUUUAAUUAUAUUGUAUGUGUGCAUCUUUGAUAUUCCACUCAUGUAACUGUUAUUAAACAAGUGGUCAUGUUAUUCCAGGCCUUGUCCGCCACUAGCCAGACUUACAUUAAAAGUGUAUUCAAGUUAGGAAAAACACAUAAAUGCUGUUAGGUUCUGUUAUAAAGGUUUUUGUCACACUGCCACACAGCGGACCGACCACGUGGUCAGGUGCCACUGUACUGCAGUGGGGGCGUGGCAGACAACGAAUGGUCAUGUGACUCACGUGGAGGGGAGAGCUACAGGUGCACUAGUCCAUAUGAUUGUGAAUAAAGUCGAUGCUGUUGCAACUA